CUACGGGCGGCUGCAGUGGGGAAUAUUGGACAAUGGGCGAAAGCCUGAUCCAGCAAUGCCGCGUGAGUGAUGAAGGCCUUAGGGUUGUAAAGCUCUUUUACCCGGGAUGAUAAUGACAGUACCGGGAGAAUAAGCUCCGGCUAACUCCGUGCCAGCAGCCGCGGUAAUACGGAGGGAGCUAGCGUUGUUCGGAAUUACUGGGCGUAAAGCGCACGUAGGCGGCUUUGUAAGUUAGAGGUGAAAGCCUGGAGCUCAACUCCAGAAUUGCCUUUAAGACUGCAUCGCUCGAAUCCAGGAGAGGUCAGUGGAAUUCCGAGUGUAGAGGUGAAAUUCGUAGAUAUUCGGAAGAACACCAGUGGCGAAGGCGGCUGACUGGACUGGUAUUGACGCUGAGGUGCGAAAGCGUGGGGAGCAAACAGGAUUAGAUACCCCAGUAGUC
Molecule: ribosomal RNA, 439 nt
Filed under: uncultured bacterium
Lineage: Bacteria
Description: partial 16S ribosomal RNA
Rfam family: Bacterial small subunit ribosomal RNA
Source: RNAcentral